GACGAACGCUGGCGGCGUGCUUAACACAUGCAAGUCGAACGCUGAAGCUCAGCUUUUGUUGGGUGGAUGAGUGGCGAACGGGUGAGUAACACGUGAGUAACCUGCCUCCUUCUUUGGGAUAACGCCCGGAAACGGGUGCUAAUACUGGAUAUUCACUGGUCUUCGCAUGGGGGUUGGUGGAAAGGGUUUUUCUGGUGGGGGAUGGGCUCGCGGCCUAUCAGCUUGUUGGUGGGGUGAUGGCCUACCAAGGCUUUGACGGGUAGCCGGCCUGAGAGGGUGACCGGUCACAUUGGGGCUGAGAUACGGCCCAGACUCCUACGGGAGGCAGCAGUGGGGAAUAUUGCACAAUGGGCGCAAGCCUGAUGCAGCGACGCCGCGUGGGGGAUGGAGGCCUUCGGGUUGUGAACCUCCUUCGCUCAUGGUCAAGCCGCAACAAUGGUUGUGGUGAGGGUAGUGGGUAAAGAAGCGCCGGCUAACUACGUG
RNAcentral lists this ribosomal RNA (483 nucleotides) under uncultured bacterium. RNAcentral's name for it is "partial 16S ribosomal RNA". It matches the Rfam family "Bacterial small subunit ribosomal RNA", at positions 28 to 507 of the family's 1533-position model. The record is from RNAcentral.